This 1536-nucleotide long non-coding RNA is filed under the name Capsella rubella. RNAcentral describes it as "long non-coding RNA (CRUB_LNC003732)". Lineage: Eukaryota; Viridiplantae; Streptophyta; Magnoliopsida; Brassicales; Brassicaceae. The record is from RNAcentral.
GUGGAGGGCUAACUGUUGAAGAAACCGAACUUAUCACUGCGGUUACUGGUCUCCCCCUUGGUUGUCUCCCUGUUCGUUAUCUUGGAGUUCCCCUGUGCACAAAAAAGCUUAAUAUGCUAGAUUGUGAGCCUCUACUGCUUCAAGUCAAGGGAAAAAUAAACAGUUGGACUACCAAAUUCUUAUCUUUUGCAGGAAGGUUGUUACUCAUUAACACUGUCAUUGCAGGGAUCACUAAUUUUUGGUGCUCCACUUUUGUACUUCCAAAGCUCUGCAUCCGUAAAAUAAACUCUAUCUGUAGUGCUUUUUUAUGGAAAGGAAAUUUGGAAGGUCAUCAUUCAGCAAGGGUUUCUUGGGAGAAAGUGACAAAACCUAAAGAUCAGGGAGGUUUGGGGAUCAAAGAUCUUACCAUCUGGAAUAAGGCCUGCUCCAUAAGACUAAUCUGGCUCCUCUUCUUUAGAUCGGGCUCGGUUUGGGUGGCUUGGUACAAGGUUCAUUUUCUGCGUGGGUCUCUAAACAACUUCUGGACUAUGAAACAAAGACCUGCUUACUCAUGGUUGGCAAAUAAGCUGUUGAAGUACAGAGAAGUAACCUAUGAAUGGAUAAAAUUGCGAGUAGGAAAUGGGCUUACAUGUAGGUUCUGGACUGACAAUUGGUCUCCAUUUGGGAAGCUAUUGAGCUACUUUCAGAGUGGUGCGGAUGCAAGAAUGGGAAUACGCCAGCAUACUACAUUAUCAAAGUUGUACAAUCAGGGCACUUGGAUGCUACCAAAUCCGAGAUCGGACAAACAACUAUCUCUCCAUAUCUUCCUCACUACUUUGAUCCUCACUGAUUCUGAAGACCACUAUGAGUGGGAGCUGGAUGGAGCGAUUCAACAAAGGUACUCAACUGGUCAAGUCUACUCCCUGCUUAGUGAACAAUUACCCCUUGUUCCUUGGAAAGAGGUGGUUUGGUUCCCAGGCUCAAUCCCAAAACACAGCUUUCUCACAUGGCUUCUGAUCCAGAACCGUUGCCCAACCCGUUAUCGCAUUCUAGGAUGGGGCCUCCAAACGGAUCCUCUCUGUCUUCUCUGUGGCAACUCUCCUGAAACCAGAAAUCAUAUCUGGUUUGAAUGCUCUUACUCUUGGACCCUAUGGGAAUCUGUUGCUGCUCGAUGUAGGUUGCAACCGAUGAGAUAUUGGGAAGCUUCUUUAUCCCAAUUGCAAGUGAUGCGUGGCCCUAAGGAUCAACGAAGGUUAACCCUACUUGCUUGGCAGUGCUCGUUAUACACCAUAUGGGCUGAGCGGAACCAUCGUCUCCAUAGCGUCUCCUUCAGAGCUGUGGAUGACCUCCUCAAAACGAUUGAUGCUACUAUCAGGAACAGAAUUGCCUCUUACAGAGAGGUAAAUCAAAUCAUUUCUUCGCUCAUGUUUCAACGCUGGUUCUCCUCUGAGUGAUACCAUCGACAAUGACCGUCACUAUUCUAUCGGCUAGGGUAACCUAUUACUCUCUAGGUUCAAUGUACGAUCCUUUCAAUGUUUGUUUUGUGCUUUCUGGGCU